GCUCGGAAGGCUAUCAUUUUAUUUCGUUUGAAUGGAAGCCUCGGUAAACGGCGGCAGUAACUCUAACUGUCCUAAGGUAGCGAAAUUCAUCGUCGCAUAAGUAGCGACCUGCACGAAU
Molecule: non-coding RNA, 118 nt
Filed under: Oryza punctata
Lineage: Eukaryota; Viridiplantae; Streptophyta; Magnoliopsida; Poales; Poaceae
Description: Bacterial large subunit ribosomal RNA
Rfam family: Bacterial large subunit ribosomal RNA
Source: Rfam by way of RNAcentral